This 464-nucleotide ribosomal RNA is filed under the name uncultured bacterium. RNAcentral's name for it is "SSU rRNA". It matches the Rfam family "Bacterial small subunit ribosomal RNA", at positions 26 to 518 of the family's 1533-position model. The record is from RNAcentral.
AGGAUUAACGCUGGCGGCGUGCCUGACACAUGCAAGUCGAACGAGGCCGCAAGGCCGAGUGGCGGACGGGUGAGUAACACGUGACCAACCAACCUCGAAGUUGGGAAUAGCUCUGCGAAAGUAGGGGUAAUACCGAAUGUGGCCCAGGGCGGGCAUCCGCCUUGGUCUAAAGAUUCAUCGCUUCGAGACGGGGUCGCGGCCUAUUAGCUUGUUGGUGGGGUAACGGCUCACCAAGGCGAUGAUGGGUAGCUGGUCUGAGAGGACGACCAGCCACACUGGGACUGAGACACGGCCCAGACUCCUACGGGAGGCAGCAGUGAGGAAUCUUCCGCAAUGGGCGAAAGCCUGACGGAGCAACGCCGCGUGUGGGAUGAAGGCUCUAGGGUUGUAAACCACUGUCGGAGGGGACGAUCGUGACGGUACCCUCCAAGAAACGCCCCGGCUAACUACGCGCCAGCAGCCGC